CCCUGAUGCAGCAACGCCGCGUGAGUGAAGAAGGCAUUCGUGUCGUAAAACUCUGUAGUAGGGGAAGAAAGAACUGACAGUACCCUAAAAGAAAGCCCCGGCUAACUACGUGCCAGCAGCCGCGGUAAUACGUAGGGGGCAAGCGUUAUCCGGAAUAACUGGGCGUAAAGGGUGCGCAGGUGGCUUAACAAGUUAGUGGUGAAAGGCAUAGGCUCAACCAAUGUAAGCCAUUAAAACUGUUUAACUUGAGUGCAGGAGAGGAAAGUGGAAUUCCUAGUGUAGCGGUGAAAUGCGUAGAUAUUAGGAGGAAUACCAGUGGCGAAGGCGACUUUCUGGACUGCAACUGACACUGAGGCACGAAAGCGUGGGGAGCAAACAGGAUUAGAUACCCUGGUAGUCCACGCCGUAAACGAUGAGUACUAGGUGUCGGGUGAAGAACUCGGUGCCGAAGUUAACACAUUAAGUACUCCGCCUGGGGAGUACGCUCGCAAGAGUAAAACUCAAAGGAAUUGACGGGGACCCGCACAAGCAGCGGAGCAUGUGGUUUAAUUCGAAGCAACGCGAAGAACCUUACCUAAACUUGACAUACCAAUGACAGCCUUUUAAUCGAGGACUUUUACCUUCGGGUAGACAAUGGAUACAGGUGGUGCAUGGUUGUCGUCGU
This 664-nucleotide ribosomal RNA is filed under the name Filifactor alocis. RNAcentral describes it as "bacterial SSU rRNA". It matches the Rfam family "Bacterial small subunit ribosomal RNA", at positions 381 to 1058 of the family's 1533-position model. The record is from RNAcentral. Lineage: Bacteria; Bacillati; Bacillota; Clostridia; Peptostreptococcales; Filifactoraceae.